AUGGCCGCCGCCGCUUCGGAGCCGGAGCGUGCCCCCGAGCAGCAGGGGCCCGCCGCAGACAUAGGAGGUGCCAAAGAUGCAAUGAAGGAGAGCUUUGUGGUAGAGCAAUCGGAACCGCUGGCCAAUCCAAAGGAUAGUGGCGAGCCAAAGCGUAAGGUCGUGAAGCGCAACAGUAAGCUAGAGAAGGACAGGGAGUUGUUGCAACUUGCCCAGAGGUACCAUGGAGUGGUAGCGGAGAGGGAUGCAGGCAAGUUUCUGUUAUCCAAAAUGUGA
This 273-nucleotide ribosomal RNA is filed under the name Triticum aestivum (bread wheat). Its description in RNAcentral is "partial small subunit ribosomal RNA". Lineage: Eukaryota; Viridiplantae; Streptophyta; Magnoliopsida; Poales; Poaceae. The record is from RNAcentral.